Xenopus tropicalis (tropical clawed frog) is the source of this 274-nucleotide long non-coding RNA. RefSeq lists it as uncharacterized. The record is from RefSeq and is a predicted model, not a curated record. The transcript is spliced from 3 exons. Lineage: Eukaryota; Metazoa; Chordata; Amphibia; Anura; Pipidae.
CGUGCGUGCCUGAAGUCAGCAUGAUAUUUUGUUUUGUUUUCUUCUUGGAUAUUUAUUUUGUUUUAUAUUUAUUAGGAACCUAGAGUCAAACAGGUCAAAUUCACAUUUGUGGAAGACGCCGAGAAAUCUGAAGAAAAAGAAGAGAGUUCUGACAGUGAAACUGAAAGUGAUGAUCUUGAAAAUUCCACACCUUCCAUACAAAACUCUCCUGUCUGCCAGGAGCUGGCAAGGGCAGAAGAGAUUGAAGCCGAUAUUGCAGUCCAGGAUGAUACAA